CUCAUGUUUGUUGUUGCUUUGGUUGAUUUCUUGGUUAUGUGAAUUUGGUCCUGCAAUUAGUGUAAUCCACAUUUGUCUUGUACAAUUUAAACUUAAAAGAAGUUUUAAUUAUGGUGCUAAAAUUGGGAAUUUUUGACUACUUGUUUUAUAAGAUCUGAGCUUCAUUUUUGUAUUGCCAAAAAGUUUUGAGAUGGUGGAACAAGACUUAUUACUGUCUAAUGAAUUGUAAUUUGUAAUACAUAUUAGGAGGGUAUGGUACGAAGUGAAAUAUUGCAGAUUUAUGCAUCAUUCAGUAAUUUUUUUAAUUCCAAGUGUGACUUUUCGGUAGGUUUUCUCUAGUUGCAAAGAGAAUGUUACCUCAAUCAUUGUACUGUAAUUUUUUGAGUUUCAAUUGUUCAUUAUGCAAUGAAUAGGAGUGCAGUAACAAUAUGGAGGAUUCAUCACCAAUCACAAUAAAAGAAAAACGAGGAUUUACAAUCUCUAAUAGAAAUCACAAUUUUCCUUUCGUCAAAACAAUAAAGCACAUUACAUUGAUGUGUGUAGGGAGAGCUAUUAGUACUUCUCUCUGUCCUUUUCCUAUAAUUCUAUGCAAUAGGGGUUGGUUGGAUGGGUUGGGUUGGGUUGGGGAUUGAAGUAGCUGUCAGGCCUUAGUAGAUUUAGAGUUUAGAAGAUUAUUUCAUAAUUUUAAAUUUUUAUUCACAAUCUGUUUGCAUUUAGCUAUUGAGAGAAAAAGCUUGUGGUUUAGUCCAACCUGGUCCUUAUUGCUAUUAACUCAUUUUACUUGUUUCAAGUUAGCAAUCGAAGAUCGCACCGAUGGUUAAAUGAUCGCCUAUUGAUGGAACUUGUUCCUCGUUUGAAUGCAGAAGAGAUUAGAGGCUUAUUUGCUCCACCACCUUGGGGUGAAAAACUUCAGGGCUGAUGAGCUGAUGGAGUUUUACAAAUUAGAUUUGAAACUGAAGAAGUUCCUGCACAUAAUUGAGAAUUCACAAGCGUAUCCUGUUUUGUAUGAUCGCAACAGGUAUUUUGGUUUCUUGAUUACACCAGUUUCACCUUAAUGAGGUACUACAUUUUCUGCUCAUUAUUAUAUUUUAUACCUUCCUACUUGAUUCAUUUAGAAGCUUUAACUUUUCCAUUUAUUGGUGGACUGACAUGUCAUUACAGAUGUACCGGGGCUGAAGCAGUUCCCUUGUUAGUUUGAUUGCUUCUAUUUCUUUGAUUUUUGUGUAUCAAAUUGAUACUUGAGAUGUGGAUUCUUUGUUGCUUUGUUUUAAUACUUGACCAGUCUGUUAUUUAUUGCUUUGUUGUAUGUUCUGUUGUGUUAAUUAUUAUUUAAGGUUUGUUAU
Molecule: non-coding RNA, 1343 nt
Organism: Camellia sinensis
Lineage: Eukaryota; Viridiplantae; Streptophyta; Magnoliopsida; Ericales; Theaceae
Source: RefSeq, a predicted model, not a curated record